Macaca mulatta (Rhesus monkey) is the source of this 1676-nucleotide non-coding RNA. NCBI's taxonomy places the organism in Eukaryota, Metazoa, Chordata, Mammalia, Primates, Cercopithecidae. The record is from RefSeq and is a predicted model, not a curated record.
CCAAGCAUCAUUCAUUAACAGACUCUGAUAUUCCCUUCAGUCAUUGUCAUGGCUAAGAAAGCAGCUCCAACCCACACACUGCAAAUACGAAGGCCACGAAAGGCACGCAGGCUCUGGUGUGUGUAGUGAAGAUGAGUGACCAUGUUCCUAAGCAUGAAGGACCACGUGAGGAUCCCGGACACCUACUGCAUGAAUGUAUUAGCCCUUUCAGGUCUAGGGACCUGGUAACCCUUCAUUACUUAUACUCUGACUUUCUUCCACUUCUUUCCCCAGUCCAUAAAUGUAACUUAGGUGACUUAUUAACCCUGACGGUUUGAUCAACAAUAGUAAGCUCUAGUUUCAGGCCUAGUGUUGGUCCCCCUACUGCAGACAUGGGAUAAAGUCAAGGGCUAACCACCCUUACAAAUUUACACUUUUCUAAAGGGUGCCUUGGGAGAGAGGGAGUGCAGAGCAGAGAAAACCUACCUGUGCAACUGACAAGGCCACUCAGGCCACGGGGACAGAGCAGGAAUGCUCUCAGGAGUGUCCCCUGCACCUGAAUUCGAUUUCUGCCUUCGCCUUCUGCCUCCUACCCAGCGUCUCCUGCACAGUCAGUCAAGCGUUUCCACGGUACCAGCCAUACCUGAUGCCAGGAGACUCACUACACUUGGAAGCUCUUCAAGGCAUGGUUAUCUUUGUGAACUGGAUCUUGGAGAAGCAGGAUUGAACAUAAGAGCUAUCUCUGAGGCUCCAGCACCUACAAGGGACGCCCUCCCUCUCCCCCGUGGACCACCUGUCUAACCCAAGUGAGUCUCACACAGAAACCAGUCAUGGCCCUGCCUUCGCCCCCCUUGAAAUCACCCGAGAGGAUGCUUCCAACUCAGGCAAGCAUAACUGACACUCACUCUGCAUGCAACAGCAGGGGAAUGACCUUACAAGAAACUAAUGGGCCUCGCUUCAGGAGAAUCACUGUCAGAGCCUGUAACAUAAGAUAAAUAACAGCCAAGGAUUUUUGAAAAGUUUCCUGAUGAGAGAACCAUGACCUUUUCAAGGGUAGUGAUGGAUUGAUCAGGGCAAGCAACAUGUAGAUUUUUUAAAACAAGGCUAGCAAAAGAAACAGUGAUAUAUAUCUACCAAAGUUAGCUAGAAUACCCGGCUGGUGUCCCAGUCAGGAAACACAGGAAAAGGUUACAUCUGUAGGGAAAAAAAAAACUUGUUACGCAAAACGAUGCAGUUAAAAACCAAGCUCACUGUAAGAAAUGCCGUGUGGGCCAGAGGGGACUGUCAUGUCGAAAGUGCUCGGUGUUCCUGAAGCUGGGCGGCCAGGUGUUUUAACACCCAAAGGCCCUCCCUGCUGGGGCCAUGGGAUAAGCCUCUGAGUGGCUUCAGACCCAGCAAGGAGCUCUGAAGUCUAUGCGGGGGGUGGAGGGUGGGAAUCCUGUUAGAAGCUCUCACUGCUGUGAAUUUAUGAAGCCCCGUGCACACUGUGACUUUUAUAAUCAUAACUUAGCUGGCUUUAGCUCACGUUGCAGGUUUCAUGACAGGCUGCUCCUUAAUGAGCAUUGUAAUCUUCAGGAAAGAAUCCAAAUUCUUUAGUCACCACCUAACUCCACGUUCAUUACCGUGUUGUACAGAGUGGAGUCCAAAAGCGGCAACUGUGUUUAUUUCUCCACAGAAAAUACACCUCCACCAAGGCA